Molecule: ribosomal RNA, 468 nt
Filed under: uncultured bacterium
Lineage: Bacteria
Description: partial 16S ribosomal RNA
Rfam family: Bacterial small subunit ribosomal RNA
Source: RNAcentral
GACGAACGCUGGCGGCGUGCUUAACACAUGCAAGUCGAACGGAAAGGCCCUGCUUUUGUGGGGUGCUCGAGUGGCGAACGGGUGAGUAACACGUGAGUAACCUGCCCUUGACUUUGGGAUAACUUCAGGAAACUGGGGCUAAUACCGGAUAGGAGCUCCUGCUGCAUGGUGGGGGUUGGAGAGUUUCGGCGGUUGGGGAUGGACUCGCGGCUUAUCAGCUUGUUGGUGGGGUAGUGGCUUACCAAGGCUUUGACGGGUAGCCGGCCUGAGAGGGUGACCGGCCACAUUGGGACUGAGAUACGGCCCAGACUCCUACGGGAGGCAGCAGUGGGGAAUAUUGCACAAUGGGCGGAAGCCUGAUGCAGCAACGCCGCGUGCGGGAGGACGGCCUUCGGGUUGUAAACCGCUUUCGCCUGUGACGAAGCGUGAGUGACGGUAAUGGGUAAAGAAGCACCGGCUAACUACGUG